CAGCAGCCGCGGUAAUACGAAGGGUGCAAGCGUUAAUCGGAAUUACUGGGCGUAAAGCGUGCGUAGGCGGUUUGUUAAGUCUGUUGUGAAAUCCCCGGGCUCAACCUGGGAAUGGCAAUGGAUACUGGCAAGCUAGAGUGUGUCAGAGGAUGGUGGAAUUCCCGGUGUAGCGGUGAAAUGCGUAGAGAUCGGGAGGAACAUCAGUGGCGAAGGCGGCCAUCUGGGACAACACUGACGCUCAUGCACGAAAGCGUGGGGAGCAAACAGGAUUAGAUACCCCGGUAGUCCCUGUCUCUUAUAC
This 301-nucleotide ribosomal RNA is filed under the name uncultured bacterium. RNAcentral describes it as "partial 16S ribosomal RNA". It matches the Rfam family "Bacterial small subunit ribosomal RNA", at positions 509 to 807 of the family's 1533-position model. The record is from RNAcentral.